Molecule: ribosomal RNA, 465 nt
Filed under: Vreelandella stevensii
Lineage: Bacteria; Pseudomonadati; Pseudomonadota; Gammaproteobacteria; Oceanospirillales; Halomonadaceae
Description: partial 16S ribosomal RNA
Rfam family: Bacterial small subunit ribosomal RNA
Source: RNAcentral
CCUACGGGAGGCUGCAGUGGGGAAUAUUGGACAAUGGGCGAAAGCCUGAUCCAGCCAUGCCGCGUGUGUGAAGAAGGCCUUCGGGUUGUAAAGCACUUUCAGUGGGGAAGAAAGCCUUGGGGCUAAUACCCUCGAGGAAGGACAUCACCCACAGAAGAAGCACCGGCUAACUCCGUGCCAGCAGCCGCGGUAAUACGGAGGGUGCGAGCGUUAAUCGGAAUUACUGGGCGUAAAGCGCGCGUAGGCGGUCUGAUAAGCCGGUUGUGAAAGCCCCGGGCUCAGCCUGGGAACGGCAUCCGGAACUGUCAGGCUAGAGUGCAGGAGAGGAAGGUAGAAUUCCCGGUGUAGCGGUGAAAUGCGUAGAGAUCGGGAGGAAUACCAGUGGCGAAGGCGGCCUUCUGGACUGACACUGACGCUGAGGUGCGAAAGCGUGGGUAGCAAACAGGAUUAGAUACCCGGGUAGUC